AUUAAAGCAAGUAUCAAAAGCCAAAUAGUUAGAAGGAAUAAACAACUCAUCAAGUUGCAACAAGGGUGACUUUGGACGAACUAAUUCAACUUUCAUAUAAGGUGGAAGCAACUUCUACAUCAACCAAGUCCCAUCCAAUGGAGGAGGAGCCACCAAAGUUCCAUCCAAAGAAGGAAGAGAGCUUGCAAACUUCAUAUGUUGAAGUUAAGGACGAACCAGAAGUACCCUUGAAAAGGAAGAGCAUGAGCAAGAAUGUCUAGUGGAAGAGUGCAUUAUACAUGCUAAUAAGGGCAAGAUGUUUGCUUUGAGUCCAUGCACGAGCAAAAAAGAGGAAACCAUGGAGGAGAUAGUCAUCCUACCAUGAGCACAAAGACUCAAGUUGGUAAGAAGCAUCAUAAAAUUAUAUCUCCUUUCUUUCUAACCAUUUGCCAUGGAAUUGGAUUUUACUUUCCAAUUUGUAGGCCUACAUGAGUAUAGAAGUAUAUGUUGUGGCUUCAUCAACCUUGAUGGAGAAGUUGAAUUUGCCUAUCUUGAAGCAUCCUAAACCUUACAAGCUACAGUGGGAACAUGACAUGGAACCAAUCAAGAAUGGCAAAAAGAUUGUACUAGCGCCUCUAAGUCCAUAGCAAGUGCAAAGAGACCAUUUGGCCUUUGAGAAGAUGGAAAAGGAGAACUUUAUGAUGGACAAGGUUUGAGAAAGGGGCAAACUCUAGAUGCACAAAUUGUUGUAAUUCAUUGCAAGGUAUUGAAUUUGAGGAUAAAUCCUAUUCAAAAAAGGG
This 779-nucleotide unclassified non-coding RNA is filed under the name Hevea brasiliensis (rubber tree). Lineage: Eukaryota; Viridiplantae; Streptophyta; Magnoliopsida; Malpighiales; Euphorbiaceae. The record is from RNAcentral.